RNAcentral lists this ribosomal RNA (429 nucleotides) under Bacteroidota bacterium. RNAcentral's name for it is "Bacteroidetes bacterium partial 16S ribosomal RNA". It matches the Rfam family "Bacterial small subunit ribosomal RNA", at positions 355 to 776 of the family's 1533-position model. Lineage: Bacteria; Pseudomonadati; Bacteroidota. The record is from RNAcentral.
UAGGGAAUCUUCGGCAAUGGGGGGAACCCUGACCGAGCAACGCCGCGUGAGUGAAGAAGGUUUUCGGAUCGUAAAGCUCUGUUGUUAAGGAAGAACGAGUGUGAGAAUGGAAAGUUCAUACUGUGACGGUACUUAACCAGAAAGGGACGGCUAACUACGUGCCAGCAGCCGCGGUAAUACGUAGGUCCCGAGCGUUGUCCGGAUUUAUUGGGCGUAAAGCGAGCGCAGGCGGUUAGAUAAGUCUGAAGUUAAAGGCAGUGGCUCAACCAUUGUAGGCUUUGGAAACUGUUUAACUUGAGUGCAGAAGGGGGGAGUGGAAUUCCAUGUGUAGCGGUGAAAUGCGUAGAUAUAUGGAGGAACACCGGUGGCGAAAGCGGCUCUCUGGUCUGUAACUGACGCUGAGGCGCGAAAGCGUGGGGAGCGAACAGG